Molecule: ribosomal RNA, 465 nt
Filed under: uncultured bacterium
Lineage: Bacteria
Description: partial 16S ribosomal RNA
Rfam family: Bacterial small subunit ribosomal RNA
Source: RNAcentral
GACGAACGCUGGCGGCGUGCUUAACACAUGCAAGUCGAACGGAAAGGCCCCUUUGGGGGUACUCGAGUGGCGAACGGGUGAGUAACACGUGAGUAACCUGCCCUUGACUUCGGGAUAACUUCAGGAAACUGGAGCUAAUACCGGAUAGGAAUCCUUGCUGCAUGGUGGGGGUUGGAAAGCUUCGGCGGUUUUGGAUGGACUCGCGGCUUAUCAGCUUGUUGGUGGGGUAGUGGCUUACCAAGGCUUUGACGGGUAGCCGGCCUGAGAGGGCGACCGGCCACAUUGGGACUGAGAUACGGCCCAGACUCCUACGGGAGGCAGCAGUGGGGAAUAUUGCACAAUGGGCGGAAGCCUGAUGCAGCAACGCCGCGGGCGGGAUGACGGCCUUCGGGUUGUAAACCGCUUUCAGCAGGGGCGAAGCUUGUGGUGACGGUACCUGCAGAAGAAGCACCGGCUAACUACGUG